RNAcentral lists this small RNA (5783 nucleotides) under Pan troglodytes (chimpanzee). Its description in RNAcentral is "retained intron". The record is from RNAcentral. Lineage: Eukaryota; Metazoa; Chordata; Mammalia; Primates; Hominidae.
CAGGUGCCCGCCACCAUGCCCAGCUAAUUCUUGUGUUUUUAGUAGAGACAGGGUUUCAUCAUAUUGGCCAGGCUGGUCUCGAACUCCUAACCUUGUGAUCCGCCUACCUCGGCCUCCCAAAGUACUAGGAUUACAGGCGUGAGCCACCGCACCCAGCCCCAUGACUGCCUUUUAAGAUGGGGUAGCUGCACUUUCACUAAGACAGAGGUUGGCCAACUCCAGCCCAUGGGUCAAAUAUGAACCACCUGCUGGGUUUUGUGGAUGUUGUGGUUUUGGGACGGAGUCUCGCUCUGUUGCCCAGGCUGGAGUGCAGUGGUGCAGUCUUGGCUCACUGCAACCUCCGCCUCCCAGGUUCAAGCGAUUCUCCUGCCGGCUACUGUACUCCGAGUAGCCGGGACUACAGGUGCCCACCACCAUGCCUGGCUAAUUUUUUGUAUUUUUAGUAGAGACGGGGUUUCACCAUGUUAGCCAGGAUGGUCUCGAUCUCCUGACCUGGUGAUCCGCCCGCCUCGGCCUCCCACAGUGCUGGGAUUACAGGCGUGAGCCACCGAGCCCGGCCCACCACCUGCCGUUUUUUAAACCCAUAAGCCAGGGAUGGGUUUUGUAAUUUUAAAUUGUUCAAAAAACCAAAAGAAUAAUAUUUUGUGACAUGAAAAAUUAUAUGAAAUUCAGAUGUUGAUGAAUAAAGUUUUAUUGGCACAGAGCGUGCACAUCUGCUCGCAUGCUGGCUUGUGGCAGGGCUGAGGGGCUGUGACAGCCCCAUAUGGCCCACAAAGCUGAAAGGAUUUGCUGUGAGGCCCUUUACAUAAUGCAUUUGCUGAUGCCAGCUCUAAAUAUCCAUAUUUGCAUUCAAAUUGGUUUCAGAAAUAAAUAUGCAUUGAAUGCAGCUGGGCCUGUGAACGUGGUGGUUGAAUUCAGCUGGGCCUGUGAACUUGGUCGUUGUGUUUAGAAUGUGUUGUCUUUCCCAGGUGUUGUGUGUUUGUGCUGCCGAAGCUGCUGAAGGCGGCCUGUAGAGGGCAGGGGCCCAGGCAGGCACAGUCACUUCACUGGUGUCUUGCUUGGUUGGUGCUUGGAGCACCUCAGGAGGGAAUAUGUCCUUAGGGAAGGAAGACAGGCCGGGCAGAGGGGCCUCGAAGUGUUGGCUUCUACCAGGCUCCUGCUGAGGUGGGCGCUCAGGGAGACGGCUGGAGGAUCUGAGGAGAGCCAAAGCCCCAGGCGGUGCCCUCCCCUUCUCCUUCUAGAGCAAAGUCCUGGCCCACUGUCUGUUUAAAAGCACUUUUUUCCAACAAUACACACUGUAAAAUUUGAAGAAGUUUUCAGUGAACACCGCCGCUGCCACUCACCUCCGGAGUUUGCCGUGGGCAUUUGCUGUGCUGGUGCCAUCACACCUGGCAUCACCCCGGCCUCCUGGGAUCACCCCAGCCUCCGUGCUUCCUGCCCUGUGCUCACCCGUCCUCCUGGUUGGGGUUUUUAUUGUAAAAUACACAGAACGUAAAAUUGACCAUGACAGCCACCUUAACGUGCACCGCUCGGGCACAGUACAUUCACAGCGUGGUGGCUCCCUCGGGCACUCAGUACAUUCACAGCGUGGUGCCUCCAUCCCUUUUACCUGCUUCCAAACAGUCCAUCCCAAGAAGAAACCGGUACUCAUCAGCAGGCCCUCCCCAGCACCCACCCCCAGCCCCGGCAGCCACUCAACCGCCUCCUGCCUCUGCGGGCCGGCCUGUUCCGGAGGCUUAAUGAGCAAAUCACAGCCUGUGUGGCCCUUGUGUCUGCUUCCUUCCCUCACGUGAAGCUUUCCAGGGCCGUGCACGGUGUGGGGUGCCCUUCCUUUCGAUGGCUGGGUAGUGUGCCGCGGUACGUGCGUGAGUUUCCCGAGACAUAAACACGUUACCACAGGCCGGGUGGCCUCAGACAGCGGAAAUGGAUUCUUGCCAGAUUCUGGAGGCCAGAAGUGCAAAAUCAAGGUGUCAGCCGGGCCCCUCCCCCUCAGGCUCUCCAGGAAGGUCCUUGCUGUCCCCUGGCUGGUGGCUGCGUCACUCCAGUCUCGGCCUCGGCCUUCACCCGGCAUCUCUACUGCACGUCUGCGUCUCUAAGGGCCCAGUCAUAGGAUUGAGGGCCCACCCUGGCCCAGCGUGACCUCAUCUUAGCUCACUACAUCUGCAGAGACCCCCCUUCCAAAUGUGGCCACACCCAGGUAGCACACGCGGGCCGCACUUUGUCGUCUGCCGAUGGGCGCUCAGGGUGCUCCUGCCUUUUGGCCACUGAGUCGUGCUGCCCUGGACGCUCGUAUGCAGGCCUGCGUGUGGACAUAAGUUUCAGUCUCUUGGGUGUACAGCUAGGAGUGGAGUUGCAGCGUGGAACUGCAGGGUCACACGAUAACUGGGCUUCUGGGGGACAGUUACCAGUUGACUCUGAAAUCUAGAUUUGUACAGACAUACGAGGGCCUGUGUAUUUAUGUUGAAAAUAGAUGCACGUGUUUAGAGGCCAGCUCCUGCGAGCAUGCAGAUGCUGGUGUCAGGCUGGGAGGAGGCAGACGGAUACAUUCCCCACAUGAAGACCAAGCAGAAGUGGAGGCGAAAGCCAGCGUGGGCUGACUGUGGAGCGGCCCCAUCGUGCAUGCACGCAGGCAUUGGUGGGGUUUGGGCUGACCGUGGAGCGGCCCCAUCGUGCACGCACGCAGGCGAUGCUGGGGUUUGGGCUGACCGUGGAGCGGCCCCGUCGUGCAUGCACGCAGGCGAUGCUGGGGUUUGGCCGAGCUCUGCCGCUGGCUGGGGCACAGGGUGGCACUGACUCCCACGGUCCCCGACACGCUCUUGGCACCAUGGGCAGCUCCCCAGGCCAGAAGCACCUGCAGAAGGCGCUCAUUCCUCCUCCCCAUGCUCUUCCCUGCAGAUGGGAUGGGGCGACCUCGGGGUGUAUGGAGAGCCCUCCAGAGAGACCCCGAAUUUGGACCGGAUGGCUGCAGAAGGGAUGCUUUUCCCAAACUUCUAUUCUGCCAACCCUCUGUGCUCGCCAUGUAAGUCAGCGGGGCCCUCGCCCCCAGGAAGGGGUGAGCCCAGCAGGCCGAGGCCUCCCGGGUCCUUCCAGCCCUGACUCUGGGCGGCUGCAUCAACCUUGUCUAUUCCUACUACUGCAGGGAGGGUGGCAGGUGGGCUCAGGCCUUUCUCAUCAAGUCCCAGCCCGGCUCCGUGCCAUGUGAGGUGUGGCACCUGCUGGAUUUUCAGGGUCGAAGUUGCGGUAUUGUUGGUGGCUGCUGUUCUCUGUUUCCCAGAGUCGAGUGCUGUGGCCGCCUGGGGAGAGGUGCUGCAGUGUGGCUCCGUCUCAGGGUACCUGGGAAGCAGGAGUCCCACUCCCUCCCUCCCUUGGGAGAGUCUCUCCUGCUGGAGGCAGAAACAUGUGGUGUUGAUCGUGAGGAAGAGGGGAAGGCAGGGCACGGGGCUGGUGCUCGAGGAUGGGGACGUGUGGAGCUGCACGCCCAGUGGGUGUCCCAGGAGCCUGCGAAAGGAGGCGGGGUCUUGGGGACAACGCUGAGCUGCAGGGCCCAAGGGCCACGCGUCUUUCAGUGCAGUGGGUGCCGUGCUCCACCCAGGUGGUGGAGACGCUAACGGGGAUUGACAGGCGUGGCAGCCCCUUGUAAACCUGCGCGUGCUUCGUCUGUCACGCGUCUGUCUACUCGGUGGGGCUCUUGUUGACGCCCGGGGUCUGAGCCACACCCUUCUCAUCCAGUUUCUGUUUCUGUCACCUCCACAUAGCGAGGGCGGCACUGCUCACAGGACGGCUACCCAUCCGCAAUGGCUUCUACACCACCAACGCCCACGCCAGAAACGCCUACACACCGCAGGAGAUCGUGGGCGGCAUCCCAGACUCGGAGCAGCUCCUGCCGGAGCUUCUGAAGAAGGCCGGCUACGUCAGCAAGAUCGUCGGCAAGUGGCAUCUGGGUCACAGGCCCCAGUUCCACCCCCUGAAGCACGGAUUUGAUGAGUGGUUUGGAUCCCCCAACUGCCACUUUGGACCUUAUGACAACAAGGCCAGGCCCAACAUCCCUGUGUACAGGGACUGGGAGAUGGUUGGCAGAUAUUAUGAAGAAUUUCCUAUUAAUCUGAAGACGGGGGAAGCCAACCUCACCCAGAUCUACCUGCAGGAAGCCCUGGACUUCAUUAAGAGACAGGCACGGCACCACCCCUUUUUCCUCUACUGGGCUGUCGACGCCACGCACGCACCCGUCUAUGCCUCCAAACCCUUCUUGGGCACCAGUCAGCGAGGGCGGUAUGGAGACGCCGUCCGGGAGAUUGAUGACAGCAUUGGGAAGAUGCUGGAGCUCCUCCAAGACCUGCACGUCGCGGACAACACCUUCGUCUUCUUCACGUCGGACAACGGCGCUGCCCUCAUUUCCGCCCCCGAACAAGGUGGCAGCAACGGCCCCUUUCUGUGUGGGAAGCAGACCACGUUUGAAGGAGGGAUGAGGGAGCCUGCCCUCGCAUGGUGGCCGGGGCACGUCGCUGCAGGCCAGGUGAGCCACCAGCUGGGCAGCAUCAUGGACCUCUUCACCACCAGCCUGGCCCUUGCGGGCCUGACGCCACCCAGCGACAGGGCCAUCGAUGGCCUCAACCUCCUCCCCACCCUCCUGCAGGGCCGGCUGAUGGACAGGCCUAUCUUCUAUUACCGUGGCGACACGCUGAUGGCGGCCACCCUCGGGCAGCACAAGGCUCACUUCUGGACCUGGACCAACUCCUGGGAGAACUUCAGACAGGGCAUUGAUUUCUGCCCUGGGCAGAACGUUUCCGGGGUCACAACUCACAAUCUGGAAGACCACACGAAGCUGCCCCUGAUCUUCCACCUGGGACGGGACCCAGGGGAGAGGUUUCCCCUCAGCUUUGCCAGCGCCGAGUACCAGGAGGCCCUCAGCAGGAUCACCUCGGUUGUCCAGCAGCACCAGGAGGCCUUGGUCCCCGGGCAGCCCCAGCUCAACGUGUGCAACUGGGCAGUCAUGAACUGGGCACCUCCGGGCUGUGAAAAGUUAGGGAAGUGUCUGACACCUCCAGAAUCCAUUCCCAAGAAGUGCCUCUGGUCCCACUAGCGCCUGCGCAGACCCAGGCCAGGCCUGGAAUCUCGGUUGGCCCUGCAAGUGCCUGGAGGAAGGAUGGCUCUGGCCUCGGUCCUCCCCCAACCCUGCCCAAGCCAGACAGACAGCACCUGCAGACGCAGGGGGACUGCACAAUUCCACCUGCCCAGGACCUGACCCUGGCGUGUGCUUGGCCCUCCUCCUCGCCCACGGCGCCUCAGAUUUCAGGACCCUCCUCCUCGCCCACGGCGCCUCAGACCUCAGGACCCUGCCGUCUCACGCCUUUGUGAACCCCAAAUAUCUGAGACCGGUCUCAGUUUAUUUUGCCAAGGUUAAGGAUGCACCUGUGACAGCCUCAGGAGGUCCUGAUAACAGGUGCCCCAGGUGGCUGGGGAUACAGUUUGCCUUUAUACAUCUUAGGGAGACACAAGAUCAGUAUGUGUAUGGCGUACAUUGGUUCAGUCAGCCUUCCACUGAAUACACGAUUGAGUCUGGCCCAGUGAAUCUGCAUUUUUAUGUAAACAGUAAGGGAAGGGGGCAAUCACAUAAACGUUUGUCUCAGGGGAGCCCCAGAGGGAUGACUUCCAGUUCCAUCUGUCCUUUGUCCACAAGGAAUUUCCCUGGGCGCUAAUUAUGAGGGAGGCGUGUAGCUUCUUAUCAUUGUAGCUAUGUUAUUUAGAAAUAAAACGGGAGGCAGGUUUGCCUAAUUCCCAGCUUG